GAAGGGAGGACGAGGAGGCGCCGUUACAGAAGAAACCAGGAGAACUGCAGAGGUGAGCAGCCCUGGGCAAGGGCAGGUGCCCUGCAAAGACACCGCCUGGCUACAUGUGCCAGCUGCCCUACCAGGGGCUCCCAGUCCACUGACUCUCUGUCUUCUCUGCCAACAGUUUGGGAUGUCCAUGACUCUUCACAGCCCUCAAGAAAGCCGUAAGUGGAGCCAUUCCCCCUGGAGCGUGACAGCCUUCUCUGCUCAACCCCACCAAAGGAGGUCCCACUAAUGCUGUGCUUUGCCCCUCCACAGAUGUCCCAAGCACCCGGAGCUGGAUGGUGUGCCUAGAUUAGCCCAACUGUUCAACACGAUCCUCGAGGACCUCAACAGAUACAUUGAAAUGUACAACUUCGAGAUUACUGAGGGCACUGAUGACUCCCUCAGUCCCAUCAGUACAACGGAAACCAGCUCCUCUUCAGGGAUGUCUCUGUCUUCUGGGAGAAAGAACUCAUGCACUUCUGUCGUCAAAAUGGGAGCCCCCUGCUCUUCGAAGGCCUCUCUGUCAUCUUGUAGCAAUGUAUCCCUCACUUCCGUUUUGGACAUGGAACCCUGCUGCUCUUCAAGGGACUCCCUUUCUGCUUGGAGUGACAACUCCCUCGCUGCCAUUGUGGCAACAAAAGACAGUGGCUCUUCAGAGGCCCCUCUGACCCCAUGCAAGGACGACUCCCACACUUACACCAGGGUGAGUGAAGGUGCUUCACAGCUGUCACUCACAGCUCUUCUGGACGGAGCAGACAUGGUUCAAGCUUCCACGGUCCAGCCUUGUCUGCUUCCCAGUACUGUCCCAGAGGAGCAGCAUGACAUGGGCACUCACCCAUCCUGCACGAAAGAGGUGGCCAGCUGCCACAGGGCCGACAGAGUGCAGCAGCAACAGAAACAACUCCGGGACCAGCAGGGUGCUCCCACCCCACCUCCACUGGUGCCUGAUUCCCAGUCCAGGGAAACGGAGGUGCAACAGAAACACCUCCAGGACCAGCAGGGUGCUCCCACCCCACCUCCACUGGUGCCUGAUUCCCAGUCCAGGGAAACGGAGGUGCCUUUACCACAUCAAGAAACCCAGGAGACCGUGCACUGCCUUGCCCCAAGAAGGAAAGAAGAGGUGAAACUGGAGCUGCCGACUGAUGGGGUGGGUCCUCAGCAGCAUAGCCCAGCCUCAGUUCCUCAAACGCCUCAGCGACCACCAAAGCCUAAUGUGAUAGUGAUUCCCAUGGUGAAGGACAUACCGUUCCUGGAUGAGGCUGUGAAAAGGCAGCUGGAGCGUCACAUUGUAAAAAGGCAGAUACAGCGGCGCUUUGGACUGCCAACAAAGGUCCUGGCCUAUGAGAAGGACUUCUUAGAACCUCUCCUGGAGCAACAAGAAUCCCAGCCCCUGUCUUUGCAGAGGUGCAUUGGGCAGCCCUACCACUCACCCUUCCAGAAGCGGGACAGGUGCACCACAAAGUCAGCAGUGUGUCCCCCUGGCCUGCAGCAAGAGUCCGCAGCCCGGAAGAAUACAUGCACACGAGGGACACAGACACCUGCCCAGUCUGUGCCAGCAGCUAUUCCAAGAGUGGCACAAGGGAUGCCUCAGAAGGAUGGGAAGAGACCACACUGGAAAAGAGAGUCUGGAGGAACAGCCAGAAGCAGCAGCAUGACCAGCAAGAAGACCUUGCCUUGCACCAAAAAGAAGGAUCAGGGCUCUGGGACACAAAGUGAUGGUCAAGGUACUUCCCCUUCCAUCCAGGAAGAGCAGGCAUCGCCACUGAGCAAGGGAGCUCCCCAGGGGCAAUCAGAACAGGACUGUGUGAGCCCCACCAUCUCCACUGAGACACAAGAAUUGCAACUGGAGAAGAAUGUUCCCACAGGAGAAGCAGAGCACUCCCAGGAAGGCCAGAGUGGCAUCGGUGGGGAUGUGGGGACACCUGAGCUGCCAUCCAACAGGACAUCUCCUUCAAGAAGUAGUCCCCCACAGACACAACAUUGCUCUGAUGGGACACCCUCAGCUCUGCCAAUGCCUCAAGACUCUGCUGGGACCAGUAUUCUGACCCCCUACCUGGAAGAGCUGCUCAUGACACUCAUGGACUGCUACACGGCCAGAACGGCUGCUGAAAACCUGCAGAACCAGCUGCUGGCUUUAUGGCUGGAGAAGAACUCAAGCACGGACCAAGCAGCAAAGCACCCCGUUGCCUCACCACGCAGAAGACCAAAAGAAUCACAGAAGGGCAAGAGGCACACCCAGGGUGGAGCUGGCUCCAGGAGACCCUGCCCCAAGUGCAGCAGUUCCCUGCACCACAACCUGCCUGGCAGCGUUGGCUCCCAGCCUUCAGCUCCAUCUGAGGCUGCAACCCCAGGUGCAGGAAGAAACAGGACAGCAGGAGAGAGGCAUCCACCCAAGGAAAGAGCCAAGAGGAAGCAGGGCCAGAAGGUGACUGCUGCUGACACCCAGCAGCCGGAGGGGAUCCGUGUGUACAGAAAGUUGAUACUGAUCCCUCCAGUUGAGGAGGAGAGGCUUCCAUCCCAGCGAGCCCCUGCCUGGACCCUGCCAUCAGGAACAUGGCAGCUCCCCAGACAUGCAGCAGCCAGACACAGGAAUCAUAGGGCAGAGACACCACCUCUGCCAGGCAGCCUCUGCUGUGUGCUCACCCCCAUCCUCCUUUGCCUUCAGUGUGCCUGGGACACGCUCCGAGAUGCAGGCAAGGCCCUACUUGCCCGCAUCAAGAAGUGAGGUGAGGAGCCUCACGGGAAGAGAACCAACGCUGGAAAGCAGUCUCACCACGGGAUUAGGGGAUUGCUCGGGCUUCCUGCAGAAACAGAAAGCUGCAGCCAUCCCUGCCUGGAGCCACCAGGGAGCAGGAGCUCUCCCAAUAAAUGUGUCUUUCCAAGCA
RNAcentral lists this long non-coding RNA (2912 nucleotides) under Anser cygnoides (Swan goose). RNAcentral's name for it is "lncRNA (ENSACDG00005004825.1)". Lineage: Eukaryota; Metazoa; Chordata; Aves; Anseriformes; Anatidae. The record is from RNAcentral.